GCAAUCUACAAGAAGAAAUUAAAGAUUCUGUGACUCAUUUAAUUUAACACUGUCAGCCAAAGUAACUUGCAAAGAAUAAUUAACAAUGAAUUUUAUAGAGGUCACAUAAUAAACAUCUUGAUCUUUAUUUAUUUUUUUUAAAAGAGAUUGUUUCUCUUUUCUAAAAAAGAGUAGGCAGAAAUAUUCUCAGCACUGAAGUCCAUUAUUGGGAAUAAGAGUUAGAAGUCUGUAGUUCAGUAAUAAAAGCAUACCUACUGUCUACAUGACAAAGAAACCAGCUGGUCUCUACAUAUGGACAAUACCUGCUAAUGGCUGGAUAUUUUAAAGUCCUGUCAAUUUCACCCCCUUCCAACAUCUGUUCUUUUUUUUUUUUUUCUAAUACCUCAGUCUUGCUGCUCUCCACAAGCUAUUUUUUUAUUCUCUUUCUCUCAUCUUCCCAAUUAUUUCCCAUAUCCUGGAAUUCCUAGUUAAUGGGCAUUUUACUACAUAGUGAAUGAGGAAGGGAGCUAUGAAUCAUCACUUCAUUAAACAUGCAUCUUGGGAAAGAAGAUGUUCACUACACAGCUAUAUAAGCCAGGUACAUGCCCUAAGUGUGCCCAUGGGUCAUUGUUAAAAAUACUGCACAUUUCUUUUCCCCAGGCUCUGAAAAAGAGGACUACCAGCAACACCAUGUCAGGGUUCGGAGCCCAGGUGGGUGCCUCCCUUUCCAAAGAUAUGUAUACAGAGACAGGACAUGACAAAAGCUGAGUGGGACAAUCAGCAGAAGAACUGUCUUUAUUCCCUAAUCUACCACACAGCGAUAAGAAAAACCAAGUGUAAUUGAUACAAGGUCUCCAAUCUUCUAAACUCACUAGGACCUUUAGAGGAAUCCCAGGUGCAUUGAAAUGCCUCUGAAGUAUACCUUGGGCAUCCCCCAAAAGUCCUAUUGAGGCGUUCAGAUGAUAGGAAGCCUUAGGCAAUGCUCUUCUGUUGAACAGGCCAGAAUCAGACAGGUGUGAGCACAGAAUGGGGAAGGCACAGCAGGCUCCAAGCUCAUUUAGUGGUAUUGCUCUCAGAUCCAACCCCUACCCCUGUAUGAAAAAUCCUGUUAACAGCUGCAGUAACAGAAAAGCUCAGGUUUUUUUUAAAUGUAUUUUAAAAAGUCAGGAUUUUAAAGAUGUUCUAUAAAUUUGAUUAAGUAAUUUUUUUUAAAUUGUCCUUUUAACUAUUGAAGCUAGAUUGUCAAUUUAAAAAAAAAAAAAAACAAGCACUACUACUCAAGAAAGCAGCCUAGAUAUGAAACACUGUAUCCAAAUUCUGUUUGGAAAGCUUAGACUUAUUUUGUCUAUAGUUUUUGCCUAUAUUAGUUUAUUUAAAUAAAUAUUAGUUUGACCUCAGUUCUCCAGCUCUUUUCACAUGCAAUGGUAAUUACACAAGCAGAAUAACUACAACAUUUGGGUCUCUUUUCUGUGCUUAUUUUUCAUUUCUUUUCAAAUCUCUCAGAGAAGAAGAUAUUACUGGUCAUUUAGUGGUUGGAAAAAUGUUAACACAUAAUGAAUUCAUAGCCAAAGCUAGUUGCUCACCCUGGACAAACAUAGCAGAAUGCUCAGCCCCUGUGGAAGAGAGUGCUUGCUCCUAAGUGAUCAUAGCUCAGUGGUUUGAGCAUUGGCCUGCUAAACCCAGGGUUGUGAGUUCAAUCCUGGGGGCGGUCAUUUAGAGAUUUGGG
This is a long non-coding RNA of Dermochelys coriacea (leatherback sea turtle), 1705 nucleotides long. RefSeq lists it as uncharacterized. NCBI's taxonomy places the organism in Eukaryota, Metazoa, Chordata, Testudines, Dermochelyidae. The record is from RefSeq and is a predicted model, not a curated record. The transcript is spliced from 2 exons.